CGUCAACCACCUGUCACUUCCGGUAACCCACCUCCCCUCCUUGCCUUUUCUAAGGUUUCAGUUUCAGGGACCCAUUUGUAAACACACACUCACAAAAUUUAUUUAUACAUAUUCUAUGGGAAGCUCUGUUUGUGCGAAGCAUCGUUAUUUCCGUUAUUAGGAAUUUCAACUCCUCGGGAAAAGUUCCCCCAAACACUUCAAAAAAUUUCCCUUUUAGGGUUUCAAUGGAUUUAUUUCAUACUAAAUCGGGUCUGUCCCUGGGUUUUACUAAAUCCUCCAUUGCGGAUGAUCCGAUUUCGCUUCAAAUGGACACCACCUUUCGCUUCUCCGUCUCACCCGUUCCGUUACAGUUGUUCGAGGAAAAAGACGACGGUCACCGUGAAAAUCGCAUCGAAAGUGAUGAAGAAAUUAGGAUUUGGGGGCAGUCUAUGUGUGUGAAAAGACAAAGGGAUCCUAAACCUCUUCCAAAUCCUUGUAAACGGUUUGCUCCCGACCCUGGUCUGGACCAAAGACGAGCCGCGGUCAGGUCGUGGGGAAACCAACGGCUACAAGAGGCCGAUCCUGAAUUGAGUGAGAUCAUGAGCAAGGAAAAGCAGAGGCAAUUCUUAGGAAUUGAGCUUAUUGCUUCUGAAAACUUUGUGUGCCGAGCUGUGAUGGAAGCAUUGGGAAGCCAUUUAACAAACAAAUACUCCGAAGGAAUGCCUGGAGCGAGGUACUACACGGGCAAUCAUUUUAUUGAUCAAAUCGAAAGCCUAUGUCAAGAUCGUGCACUGGCAGCUUUUAAUCUUGAUUCCGACAAAUGGGGAGUCAAUGUGCAGCCUUAUUCGUGUACUUCUGCAAAUUUCGCCGUUUAUACGGCACUUUUGUUGCCUGGUGAUCGGAUGAUGGGAUUGGAUUCGCCAUCUGGAGGGCAUAUGAGCCAUGGAUGGUAUAUGCCGAGUGGGAAGAAAGUGUCUGCUGCGUCGAUAUUCUUUGAGAGUUUUCCUUACAAGGUGAAUCCUCAAACAGGGUUUAUUGAUUAUAAUAAGCUUGAGGAAAAGGCGCUUGAUUAUCGGCCCAAGAUUCUAAUUUGUGGUGGGAGUUCUUAUCCCAGAGAGUGGGAUUAUGCAAGGUUUAGGCAAAUUGCAGAUAGAUGUGGAGCUGUUUUGAUGUGUGAUAUGGCUCAUAUUAGUGGUCUUGUGGCAGCCAAGGAAUGUGCCAGUCCAUUUGAUUACUGUGAUAUUGUCACUUCAACAACACACAAAAGUCUACGGGGCCCAAGGGGAGGUAUAAUCUUUUAUAGGAGGGGCGCAAAAUCAAGAAAGCAAGGCAUGUGUCUCAGUAAUGGUGAUUGUACUGACCAGCUUGAUUUUGAGGAAAAGAUAAAUUUUGCUGUCCAUGCAUCAUUACAAGGAGGACCUCAUAACAAUCACAUUGCCGCUCUUGCCAUAGCAUUGAAGCAAGUGACUACACCAGAGUACAAAGCCUAUAUGCAACAGGUGAAGAAAAAUGCUCAGGCUUUGGCAUCUGCUCUACUGAAAAGAAAAUGCAAGUUGGUUACCGGAGGCACUGACAACCAUUUGUUGCUGUGGGAUCUCACUACACUAGGCUUAACAGGCAAAUGCUAUGAGGAAGUUUGUGAGAUGUGCCACAUCACUCUGAAUAAAACUACUAUAUUUGGUGACAAUGGUGCUAUUUCUCCCGGAGGAGUGAGAAUUGGUACGCCUGCUAUGACAUCAAGAGGUUGUUUAGAGUCUGAUUUUGAGACAAUCGCAGACUUUCUCUGUACAGCAGCUGAAAUUACGAGUUGUGUGCAGAGGGAUCAUGGAAAAUUGCAGAAAGAGUUUCUCAAGGGUCUUCACAAUAAUAAAGAUGUUAUUGAUCUCCGGAUUCGUGUAGAGGCAUUUGCUGCCCAGUUUGCAAUGCCUGGAUAUGAUUCUUGAAGAUUUAUAAGAUGGCCUGCCUGCUACCUGGCAUACCCUCAAUUUUUAUCUGGUUUCUAUUCAGGAACACACCCUUGAAGGGAGGCAAGGCAUGAGACAAAAAGCAUGAGAUACGAGAAAGUGAUUUAUUUUUAUUACUUUAGUUUUAAAAAGAAGAACACAAUAAUAAAACUAAAAUUGAGACUUCAUUAGCAGUCUCGAAAUCAUUAAUGGGUAAAUUAGAAGUAAAAUUUUCUGAUCUUCACAUGAUGGUAUAGUUUGACCCUAAACCGAGUAGCUUCCCCAAAAACAGAAAGAGACAAGGAGAAGGGGACAGACAUGUCAGGAAAAGAAGUGGGAUUCUAUUUAUAUGUGCGUUUCAUUUUUCCUUUAAUGAAACAGAAGCAUUUUCAUGAUUAAAAAGAAGUGGCCAUUGGACUUUUGCUUUUUGAAACCCCGAAUCGGACAUCAUAAAGCUUUCUAAUGAUCAAAUAAGGCCAGCUCUGGUGGGGAAUCUCAUUGUCCUCUUCAUUACCCCUAGUCUAUUUGUUGUUUACUUUAGGCUCUUUUACCUAAAUAUUAUAAAUUAAACAAAUAAAUUAUUUGCUCAAACAA
Molecule: RNA transcript, 2516 nt
Organism: Gossypium raimondii (Peruvian cotton)
Lineage: Eukaryota; Viridiplantae; Streptophyta; Magnoliopsida; Malvales; Malvaceae
Gene name: serine hydroxymethyltransferase 7
Exons: 5
Source: RefSeq, a predicted model, not a curated record